AUGGCAGCCGCCGGCCACCUCAUGCUCCUGUCCUGCGUGCUCCUCCACGCCCUCCUGGCCAGCCCCGCGGAGGGCCUGGUUCAGGUGGCGCUGACGAAGCGGCCCGUGGACGAGGACGGCCCUGUCGUCGCCGGAGAGGACGCACAGCGCCUCCUCGCGUGGCGGCACGGCCUCGUCUACAACGCCGACGCCGCGCCCACAACAGGAGGUGCAGAGGGCCACGCCGUGGCGCUGAAGAACCACCUCAACGCCCGGUACUACGGCGAGGUCGGCGUCGGGACGCCGCCGCAGAACUUCACCGUCAUCUUCGACACGGGCAGCGCCGACUUCUGGGUGCCCUCCUCCAAGUGCUUCCUCUCGAUUGGAUGCUAUCUGCACGCGAGCUACAAGGCCAGCAAGUCCGCCACGUACAAGAAGAACGGAAAAAGGGUCGCACUUCGUUACGAAACAGGUGCAAUUUCUGGCUAUCUUAGCCAGGACAAUGUGCAAGUUGGUGGUGUAGUUGUAAAAAAUCAGGAUUUCAUUGAAGCUACCAGGGAACCAAGUAUUACUUUCAUGUUUAGGAAGUUCGAUGGCAUUCUCGGUCUUGGAUUUAAAGAAAUCGCUAGGGGCGGUGCUGAACCUGUCUGGUACAACAUGGUUAACCAACAUCUGGUUGGUAGCCCUGUUUUCUCGUUCUGGUUCAACCGGCAUGCUGGUGAAGGGCAGGGGGGAGAAAUUGUGUUUGGAGGAAUCGAUCCUAAGCAUCACAAGGAAGAACAUAAAUACGUUCCUGUUACUAAGAAGGGAUACUGGCAGUUUGAUAUGGGUGAUGUCUUGAUUGGAGGAAAGUCCACAGGAUUAUGUACAUCUCGCUGUGCAGCUAUAGCAGAUUCGGGAACUUCGUUGCUUGUUGGUCCCACUGCAAUAAUUACUCAGAUAAAUGAAAAGAUUGGUGCACCUGGGAUUUUCAGCCAAGAGUGCAAGGAAGUUGCUUCUCAGUACGGGCAACGGAUCUUAGAUCUAUUGCUAAAUGAGAUCGACCCAACAAAAAUAUGUCCUUCUGUUGGUCUAUGCACUCACGGUGGAACUCCAGGUGUAAGCUUUGGUAUUCGGACUGUGGUAGAUGAUGAAACCGGGAGAUCAAAUGAUGCCAUGUGCCAUGUUUGUGAGAUGGCUGUUAUGUGGGCAAAGAACCAACUUGCACAGGAUCAAACACGGGAUCUUAUAUUGAAGUACAUUAAUACGCUAUGUGGCUAUAUCCCUAGCCCUAUGGGAGAAUCAUCAGUGGACUGCAAAAGACUUGCAUCCAUGCCUGACGUCGCCUUCUCCAUCGGCAGCAAAAAGUUUGCACUCACACCAGAGCAAUACAUCCUGAAGAUUGGCGAGGGAGAUGCUACUAAGUGCAUCAGUGGAUUCGUAGCUAUGGACAUUCCUCCUCCCCGUGGUCCUAUCUGGAUCUUGGGUGAUAUAUUCAUGGGGGCCUAUCACACUGUCUUUGACUAUGGUAAAAUGAAGGUUGGCUUCGCGAAGGCGGCAUAG
Molecule: ribosomal RNA, 1521 nt
Filed under: Triticum aestivum (bread wheat)
Lineage: Eukaryota; Viridiplantae; Streptophyta; Magnoliopsida; Poales; Poaceae
Description: partial small subunit ribosomal RNA
Source: RNAcentral